CUUGAAUUGUCCCAGCUGUUCUUCUUAGUCCAAAUCUAAUAGUUUCUCUUUGGGGCCAAGGUAUAGAGAGAAUCAGAUCUUUAAAGACUGCUUUUUAGAGCCUCAGAGGGGCAAGUUUUCUAGGGAGAAAGUGCAUGGUGUUCUUUGAAACUAGCUGCAGAGUAUCUGUCUGCAUUUCAAACUGAGUCUCAUCUGCAGUUUCCGUGGGAGAAAGCCAUCUGCAGUUCAGUGCAUGUCCUCAGGACCCCAGAUGUUCCCUGAACCAUUGGGUAUUUGCUAUUAGCUCCAGAUCACACGUGCCAGUCAAGUGGUGGCAGCGCAGGAGACAAAGAUCCUGUGAAGUCCAAGUGAAGCCUCUUCUGUGGACAGCAAGGUCUCCAACAUCUCUAGACAAAGGACACACAUCCCUCCUCUGUUCUAGCAGGGAAGAAGUCAGCUUCCAAGUAGCUUGAGGACUCUUUAACUCUAUAUUUAGGGAGUUAGAAACAGCUUGAGAAACUAGUUUCACUGUAGUUGAAAAAAAUGCCUUUUUGUGUGUCCAUCAACAUGUCUGUAAUUCCAGCACUCUGGGAGUCUGAGGUAGAAGGGUGACAAGGCUGAAGCCCAGCCUGGACAAUUUAGUGUUUAGCAAGACCUUGUUUCAAAAUAAAAAUUUCAAUAAAGGGCUGAGAAUAUAGCUCAGCAUGAAGGCCAUGGAUUCAAUCCUUAGCAGGGGUGGGGGG
RNAcentral lists this long non-coding RNA (722 nucleotides) under Heterocephalus glaber (naked mole-rat). RNAcentral describes it as "lncRNA (ENSHGLG00100051076.1)". Lineage: Eukaryota; Metazoa; Chordata; Mammalia; Rodentia; Bathyergidae. The record is from RNAcentral.